Molecule: long non-coding RNA, 5004 nt
Organism: Homo sapiens (human)
Lineage: Eukaryota; Metazoa; Chordata; Mammalia; Primates; Hominidae
Exons: 2
Source: RefSeq, a predicted model, not a curated record
GGCUGGAAAAAAAAAAGAAGAAAGAGUUUGUUUACAUUUCUGCAAAGAUCCUGUAGCAUGUGCUGUAACUUGCCCAGGAUGUGGGAGGCUCUGUGAGACCCCAACUAAUCCCAAAGGAGGGACCAAGUCCAGGACUUAGGGGACGAAGUUCUGGCCAGGUCCUACCAUGACUCUCACAGUGCCUGUUUCUCACUCAUCACUCUAGGACCAUGAGUCACCCAAGCCCAGCUCGGCCACAUGCCUUCCUGGGAGAAGGAACCGGAGGCGCCCAGGAGAGUCAGAAGCCUCUUAGAGAUAAACAUUCGGCUAAGGCUUGCCCUGCCCUUCCUUUCUUGCACUAAGAAAGCCUCCUGACAUCAGGUCAGGCAAGCCAGAGUUUGGCUGUAAGACCUGGGCUUGGGGACGCUUGUGUGAAGUCCUUUUCCUCUCUGUGCCUCAGUUUCCACUCAGCCGUUUAAACAACCAGAAUUUCAGUCUUCCAGCACAGACACCUGGGGCUGCAAUAAGGUGAAUGCAGACACCAUGACGCAGGCUAAAACUGGGAGUGCAGGCAGGAAGGCCUGGGGCUGCCCCACACCCACUCCUGGAAGUUUUGGGGACUUUGCUGCUGCUCAUGCAAAGGUCUAAAUGCCCAGCUCUGUGCCAGGGCCCUGAGACACCGUCAGGCAUUUCCAGGAGGAUGUGCCCAAACGCCAGCAUGGUCCUGACAGGGCUGCCAGGCUCAUUUGCCUCUUCUGAAAGCAAAAAGAAGAGACAUGAAAUGAAUUUCUAUUAACUGGGACCAUGACUUCUGCGAAGGAAUGAAAAUGCUUUUAAUUCAUAACCAAGAAAUCCUACUUACAUUUGAAAAACUUGUCAACCCAUUGCUGAACAUCUGGGAGAACACGGGGCGGGGGUGGGCUUCGUUAGUGCCCAGCCUGGAACCCCCCAAUUGCCCCGAGGACCUCCCUGGCUCAAGUAGCUCCAGUCUCUCCCGGCUUGAUACCAGGAACAUCAUGGCGCACAGCUCGCGUCCCAGGUCAGCCUUCGUCUUCUGUCUAUAAUUACACCACCCUCUUGAACGUCCCUGGACCAGACGUGUAUAACAGCACAUGUCCAUGAGCCGACAUCAAGAGGACCAUGCUCUGCAUACCAUCCUGUGGCAUGCCCUCCCCUCUGUGGGACCCCUCAUGUUGUGCAGGGACCCCCAGUCCUCUCUCACAGCUGUGCAGUGUGCCGCUGUGGGAACUCACAGCUGUUUACAGCCCUUUCUCUGUCGUGGACAUCUGCUUGGGAGGCUGAGGCAGGAGGAUCGCUUAAGCCCAGCGGUCAAGGCUGCAGUGAGUGGAGACACUCAACGCCAGCUGCUGUGAAAGCAGCCAGGAGGGAGGUUGUACCCUGAAAAGCCACAGGGUCAGAGCUGCCCAAGACCAUGGGAACCCACCUCUUGCAUCUGCGUGGCCUGGAUGUGAGACCUGGAGUCAAAAGAGAUCGUUUUGGAACUUUAAAAUUUGACUCCCCCUCUGGAUUUUGGACUUGCAUGGGCCCUGUAACCCCUUUGUUUUGGCCAAUCUCUCCCAUUUGAAACAGCUGUAUUUACCCAAUACCUGUACCCCCAUUGUAUCUAGGAAGUAACGAGCUUGCUUUUGAUUUUACAGGCUCAUAGGCGGAAGGGACUUGCCUUGUCUCAGAUGAGACUUUGGACUGUGGACUUUUGGGUUAAUGCUGAAAUGAGCUAAGACUUUGGGAGACUCCAGGGAAGGUAUGAUUGGUUUUGAAAUGUGAGGACUUGAGAUUUGGAGGUGUCAGGAGUGGAAUGAUAUGGUUUGGGUAUGUCCCCACCCAGAUCUCAUCUUGAAUUGUCCUCCUAUAACUCCCACGUGUUGUGGGGGAGACCCGGUGGGAGAUAAUUUGAAUCAUGGGGGUGUUUUCCCCCAUACUGUUCUCGUGGUAGUGAAUAAGUCUCAUGAGAUCUGAUGGUUUUAUCAGGGGUUUCCACUUUUGCAUCUUCCUUAUUUUCUCUUGCUGCCACCAUGUAAGAAGUGCCCCUUUCAGCCGCGACUGGAGCAGCUGGGACGAAGGGCACCAAGUCCCUAGGCUGCAAACAGCACGGGGACCCUGGGACCAGCCCACAAAACCAUUUUCUCCUAGGCCUCCAGGCCUGCGAAGACCUUUGACAUGCCCUGGAGACAUACCCCAUUGUCUUGGGGAUUAACAUUCCGCUCUCGUUACUCAUGCAAAUUUCUGCAGCUGGCUUGAAUUUCUCCUCAGAAAAUGGGUUUUUCUUUUCUAUCAUAUUGUCAGACUGCAAAUUUUCCAAACUUUUACGCUCUGCUUCCCUUAUAAAACUGAAUGCCUUUAACAGUACCCAAGUCACCUCUCGAAUGUUUUGCUGCUUAGAAAUUUCUUCUGCCAGAUACCCUAAGUCAUCUCUGUCAAAUUCAAAGUUCCACAAAUCUCUAGGACAGGGGCAAAAUGCUGCCGGUCUCUGCUAAAAUAUAACAAGAAUCACCUUUGCUCCAGUUCCCAGCAAGUUCCUUAUCUUCAUCUGAGACCACCUCAGCCUGGACCUUAUUGUCCAUAUUGCUCUUGGGCUUUUGGUCAAAGCCAUUCAACAAGUCUCUAGGAGGUUCCAAACUUUCCCACAUUUUCCUGUCUCCUUCUAAGCCCUCCAAACUGUUUCCGUCUCUGCCUGUUACCCAGUUCCAAAGUCACUUCCACAUUUUUGGGUAUCUUUUCAGCAAUGCCCCACUCUACUGGUACCGAUUUCUGUAUUAGUCCAUUUUCAUGCUGCUGAUAAAGACAUACCCAAGACUGGGAAGAAAACGAGGUUUAAUUGAACUCACAGUUCCACAUGGCUGGGGAGGUCUCAGAAUCAUGGCGGGAAGCAAAAGGCACUUUUUUUUUUUUUUUUUUUUUUGAGAUGGAGUUUCACUCUUGUUGCCCAGGCUGGAGUGCAGUGGCUCGAUCUCCACUCACUGCAACCUCCCAAAAGGCACUUCUUACAUGGCGGCGGCAAGAGAAAAUGAUGAGGUGUUAAAGCAGAAACCCCUGAUAAAACUGUCAGAUCUUGUGAGACUUAUUCCUACCACAAGAACAGUACGGGGGAAACUGCCUCCAUGAUUCAAAUUAUCUCCCACUGGGUCCCUCUUACAACAUGUGGGAAUUAUGAGAGUACAAUUCAAGAUGAGAUUUGGGUAGGGACACAGCCAAAUCAUAUCAGAUGUUGAGCAUUUUUUCAUGUUUGUUGGCUGCUUGUAUGUCUUCUUUUGAGAAAUGUUUGUUCAUGUAUUUUGCCCACUUUUUUUUUUUGAGCUGGAGUCUUGCUCUGUCGCCAGGCUGGAGUGCAGUGGCGUGAUCUCGGCUCACUGCAACCUCCGCCUCUGGGGUUCAAGCAAUUCUCCCGCCUCAGCCUCCUGAGUAGCUGGGACUGCAGGCACACACCACCAUGCUUGGUUAAUUUUACAUUUUUAGUAGAGCUGGGGUUUCACCAUGUUGGUCAGGAUGGUCUCAACCUCUUGACCUCGUGAUCCACCCACCUCAGCCUCUCAAAGUGCUAGGAUUACAGGUGUGAACCACCACACCUGGCCUUUUGCCCACUUUUUAAUGGGAUUAUUUGUGUGUUGCUUGUUGAAUUGUUUAAGUUCCCUAUGGAGUCUGGAUAUUAGACCUUGGUCGGACAGAUAGUUUGCAAAUACUUUUUCCCAUUCUGUAGGUUUUCUGUUUACUCUGCUGCUAGUUUCUUUUUCUGUGCAGAAGCUCUUUAGUCUAAUUAGGUCCCACUUGUCAAUUUUUGUUUUUGUUGCAAUCGCCUUUGAGGACUUAGUCAUAAAUUCCUUCCCAAGACUAAUGUCCAAAAUGAUGUUUCCUAGGUUUUCUUCUAUCAUUCUUAUAGUUUGAGGUCUUACAUUUAACUCUUUAAUCCAUCUUGAGUUAAUUUUUGUAUAUAGUGAAAGACAAGGGUCCAGUUUCAUUCUUCUGCAUAUGGCUAGCCAGCUAUCCCAGUACCGUUUAUUGACUAGGGAAUACUUUUCUCAUUGCUUAUUUUUGUUGACUUUGUCAAAGAUCAGAUGGCUGUAGGUGUGUGGCUUUAUUUCUGUUUGUUGGUCUAUGUGUCUAUUUUUGUACCAGUACCGUGCUGUUUUGGUUACUGUAGCCAUAUAGUAUAGUUUGAAGUGAGGUAAUGUGAUGCCUCUGGCUUUGUUCUUUUUGCUUAGGAUUACUUUGGCAAUUUGGGCUCCUUUUUGGUUACAUAUGAAUUUUAGAAGUUUUUCUAGUUCUGUGAAAAAUGAUGUUGGUAAUUUGUUUAUUUUUAAUUUUUUAAUUUUUUUUAUUUUUUUGAGACAGGGUCUCACUGUCACCUAGGCUUGAGUACAGUGGCAUGAUCACAGCUCACUGCAGCCCUGAUCUCCCAGGCUCCAGUGAUCCUCCCACCUCAGCCUCUUGAGUAGCUGGGAUUACAGGUGCAUGCCACCACACUGGGCUAAUUUUUGUCUUUUUGGGAGAGAUGGGGGUUUUUGCCAUAUUACCCAGGCUGGUCUCAAACUCCUAGGCUCAAGCAAUCCAUAGGCCUUGGCCUCCCAAAGUGCUGGGAUUACAGUGUGAGUCAUCACGCCCAACCAAUGUUAGUAAUUUGAGAGGAAUAGUGUUGAAUCUAUAAACUGCUUUGGGCAGUAUGGUCAUUUUAACGAUAUUGAGGCUAGGGGCAGUGGCUCAUGCCCAUAAUCCCAGCACUUUGGGAGGCUGAGGCGGGUGGAUCACCUGAGGUUGGGAGUUCAAGACCAGGCUGACAAACAUGGAGAAACCCUGUCUCUACUAAAAAUACAAAAAUUAGCCGGGCGUGGUGGUGCAUGCCUGUAAUCCCAGCUACUCAGGAAGCUGAGGCAGGAGAAUCACUUGAGCCCGGGAAGCAGAGGUUGCGGUAAGCAGAGAUUGCACCAUUGCACUCCAGCCUGGGCAACAAGAGUGAAACUCUGUCUCAAAACAAAACAAAACAAAACAAAAUAUAUUGAUUCUUCCUAUCCA